GCUUGAAAUAAAGCGAGAUUUCAAAAAUCUUUUUUUUACAACCCGGAAAAUCUUGAUUAUUGUUCUUUUGCCGUAAAAAGUUAAGAGCAUUCACUUAGGGUGAGUAAGAAAUAAGUUGGGGAGAACGAAAAUGAGAAUCAGUAAGUGCCACAACUCUUGAAAAACCGAGUAAGCAUUGAAAAUAAAAAUUAGAAAAGAAAAACAUCUGUUUUGUAAAUAUGAUGUGAAAGAAAAGAGAAAAAAAUAUAAUAUAGAGAAAAUAAAAAUGAAUGCUUGCUUGGAAGAAAAAUAGUGAAAAACAAAAAUUGAGUUGUGAAAUAAGAGUUGUGAAGGUUUCAAAUGAGAAAUAAAUGGAACGAAGUUGAGAUGUGUGAAUAAUGUACAGUGAAUGUCUCUUUUGCAUCGGCAAUUUCGUUUUCAAUGGCCUUAGAAAUGAC
Molecule: long non-coding RNA, 437 nt
Filed under: Lathyrus oleraceus (garden pea)
Lineage: Eukaryota; Viridiplantae; Streptophyta; Magnoliopsida; Fabales; Fabaceae
Description: Pisum sativum (pea) long non-coding RNA (PSAT_LNC019434)
Source: RNAcentral